This 514-nucleotide ribosomal RNA is filed under the name uncultured bacterium. RNAcentral describes it as "partial 16S ribosomal RNA". It matches the Rfam family "Bacterial small subunit ribosomal RNA", at positions 28 to 523 of the family's 1533-position model. The record is from RNAcentral.
GACGAACGCUGGCGGCGUGCCUAAUACAUGCAAGUCGAGCGGACCGAAGGGAGCUUGCUCCUUUAGGUUAGCGGCGGACGGGUGAGUAACACGUGGGCAACCUGCCCUGCAGACUGGGACAACUUCGGGAAACCGGAGCUAAUACCGGAUAACACAGCAAACCGCAUGGUUUUCGGUUGAAAGGCGGCUUUUAGCUGUCACUGCAGGAUGGGCCCGCGGCGCAUUAGCUAGUUGGUGAGGUAACGGCUCACCAAGGCGACGAUGCGUAGCCGACCUGAGAGGGUGACCGGCCACACUGGGACUGAGACACGGCCCAGACUCCUACGGGAGGCAGCAGUAGGGAAUCUUCCGCAAUGGACGAAAGUCUGACGGAGCAACGCCGCGUGAGCGAAGAAGGUCUUCGGAUCGUAAAGCUCUGUUGUCAGGGAAGAACAAGUACCGUUCGAACAGGGCGGUACCUUGACGGUACCUGACGAGGAAGCCACGGCUAACUACGUGCCAGCAGCCGCCGCGG